RNAcentral lists this non-coding RNA (1081 nucleotides) under Drosophila virilis. RNAcentral describes it as "Eukaryotic large subunit ribosomal RNA". It matches the Rfam family "Eukaryotic large subunit ribosomal RNA", at positions 1 to 898 of the family's 3401-position model. The record is from Rfam by way of RNAcentral. Lineage: Eukaryota; Metazoa; Arthropoda; Insecta; Diptera; Drosophilidae.
CAACCUCAACUCAUAUGGGACUACCCCCUGAAUUUAAGCAUAUUAAUUAGGGGAGGAAAAGAAACUAACAAGGAUUUUCUUAGUAGCGGCGAGCGAAAAGAAAUCAGUUCAGCACUAAGUCACUUUGUCUAUAUGGCAAAUGUGAGAUGCAGUGUACGGAACAUCAACAUUCUAGUAUGAGAAGUUAACGAUUUAAGUCCUUCUUAAAUGAGGCCAUUUACCCAUAGAGGGUGCCAGGCCCGUAUAACGUUAAUGAUUACUAGAUGGUGUUUCCAAAGAGUCGUGUUGCUUGAUAGUGCAGCACUAAGUGGGUGGUAAACUCCAUCUAAAACUAAAUAUAACCAUGAGACCGAUAGUAAACAAGUACCGUGAGGGAAAGUUGAAAAGAACUCUGAAUAGAGAGUUAAAUAGUACGUGAAACUGCUUACAGGUUAAGCCCGAUGAACCUGAAUAUCCGUUAUGGAAAAUUCAUCAUUAGAAUUGUAAUAUUUUAAACAAUAUUAUAAUAAUAGUGUGCAUUUUUUCCAUAUAAGGACAUUGUAAUCUAUUAGCAUAAAUAUUUAUCAUAAAAUUAUGUCUGAUUGCUUAUUUGAAUUAUAUGCUUGGCAUUUUAACAUAAAAUAAAAGAUAUAAAUUUGAUAAAGUGCUGAUAGAUUUAUAUGAUUACAGUGCGUUAAUUUUUCGGAAUUAUAUAAUGGCAUAAUUAUCAUUGAUAUUUGUGUUUAUUAUAUGCAUUUGUAUGAUUAACAAUGCCAAAGAUUCAGGAUACCUUCCGGACCCGUCUUGAAACACGGACCAAGGAGUCUAACAUAUGUGCAAGUUAUUGGGAUAUAAACCUAAUAGCAUAAUUAACUUGACUAUUAAUGGGAUUAGUUUUUUUUUUUAACUAUUUAUAGUUAAUUAACGCAAUCCCGGGGCGCUCUAUAUAGUUAUGUAUAAUAAUAUUUAUAUUAUUUAUGCCUCUAACUGGAACGUACCUUGAGCAUAUAUGCUGUGACCCCAAAGAUGGUGAACUAUACUUGAUCAAGUUGAAGUCAGGGGAAACCCUGAUGGAACACCGAAACAGUUCUGACGUGCAAAU